Molecule: non-coding RNA, 2997 nt
Organism: Phalacrocorax carbo (great cormorant)
Lineage: Eukaryota; Metazoa; Chordata; Aves; Suliformes; Phalacrocoracidae
Source: RefSeq, a predicted model, not a curated record
CAAAUACCUUGCUGAAGCAAAAUGAUAAAAGCUCAGCACGUCAUUCGUGGCAGGUUGGAUAUAAUAAUCAGUGAUCACACUUUAAUUUGUGGUUACUGAAAUGAUAAUAUCUUGAAAAUUGGAUAUCCCUGUCCUACACAAAUCAGAGUGGCCAGUUGGUCUGUAAGGGAUACUGAAGCCACCAAACAUUGAACAAAGAAGCCAAAAGGUAAAGCAAGAAUUUAAAUAAGGAUUUAUAAGAGCUAAGCCUCCUGCAGACAUGGAAAAUUUUGGACAGAAGGAGAGUGGAAAAAAAUGGACCAGCUUUCACAGUAGGAGAAACCCAGUUUAACUGUUGGUUGAUAUCAGCCAAGACAACACAAGUCUCCUUCCUGAAUAUAGUUGCUGUACCUUCAAAGAUUCCCCUGGGGAAAGGUGAAACCAAGGGAUUUCUGAGAUGGGGGCAUGCCACUACCACCUGUGCCUGGACCAGCUGCUGCAGUGUGUUAUCGACCUUUACAGCACCAUCCCCUGCCAAGGCUGAGGUGGGGAUGUCAGCCUGCCAGGAAUGGCCUUGGUGCCGUGGGCUGUGAUGGAAGAUAGGGUAUGAAGACAUCCUGGAUGUGAUUAUUAUUGCCACAGAGGGGACAGAGGCAACUGAGCUACACUUCACGUGUCCCAGCAACACAGACGUCUGGAGCUGAUCCAGACACCAUUCUGGGCCUUACCCUUGACAUCUCUUCCUUUCACUUUUUCCCCUUUGGCUAAAAAAUUAACCACAGACCUUUGCGGGGAUUUGUGGGUCCAGGCUGCUAGAUACUGAAGCAAGUUUCACACGAGUAUGUCUGAGUUUCAGCAGUGUACAGCAGUAAUAUUUUUUUUUCAGAGAAACAUCACAAGAAGAGAAUAGUCUCCUCAACCUUCAUUUCAUAUUAGUUUGUACUCCACCCCAACUACCUGACAGAGACCUCUCAGCUGGACAACUGGACUUCUUCACGCACUAACCCGUCCUAUAAUUUACAGUGUCUAUUCUUCAGGUUUCACAAGUAUUAUGCCAGAGACUUAUGAAUCAGCCUCAUAAAUUCACAUGGAGCCCUGGUUCCUCUUGUAGCAAUGGUGCGUACCUCCUGCAGUUCACCCGGUUUCCAUACAAAAUAGCCAACAGCGUGGAAAGUGUUUUGAGGAUGAGUUCAAGGACUAGCCUUUGAAGUGGCUGUUCUUAUGAAAGGAAACUUCAACGGCAGGGUGUAUAAAUUUGUGACAGGGAUUAAUUACAAUACAGAACCUAAAAAAAUGCACUCAUAAUGAUUGGAAAUAACUACAGCAGGGAUAAGCCAUUUGUGGUGUGAAUACAUGACUCAACAAACUCCCCUGAUAAAAGGCUGAAAGCACUUGGAGAAGGUACUUAAAAUAUCUGCUGAUCUGAAUAACCUUUUUUUUUUGUAAAUAGAUUAAGCAAUAAAGGCUGCAGGACACCAGAGGAAUGACUUGUCUGAAAUAUUGCUAAAUGCCUUCUGAAAGGCAUGUAGUUGAGAUAAUAUCUCUGGUUGGAAACAAACUGGAUUAUGGAAGUCCUGUCAACUAGAGAGAUUAUAUUAUGCGUAUAUGGAUUCACCCAGCAGCAUCAAGUCAAUUGUGAUUAAGGGAGAAACCAAGCACUGACUUAAAAGUAGGCCCAUAAUGUGUUCUCAAACCAGUGUCCAGGGAGCAUUGCAGUUCACAGCAAGUAUGAGUUUAAAAAAAAAAAUCCUCAAUCAUCUCUCUCUAAUUCACAGUAAAUAAAAUAACUUUCUGAACAGUUGUGAUUCAUUGCUAGUAGGCAAACUAUGAAAAUUGCAUCUCAUUUUUUUUUUUUCACACAGGUUUUAACACUCUUGUACUUAAAGAACAGAGCAUUUAGAGCAGUGGGUUUUUUACCACAUAUUCCAUGUCUCUUGCAUCAGGCAGGGAUCAAGCUUCACACAUGAUCCUGCAAACAACACACAUCUGGAAAUCCAGAAAUAACUGCAUAUGUCAUGUAACACUUGCUGAUUACUGACAGGCUUCACUGUGGAGCUAUAAGGAGUCACGCUGAGACCUCACAAAAUCUGACUGCUCUUCCUUCCAUGUCUCUCCCACCUCAUUUGCACACUUUGGCAAGUUUUGGCACCUGGAGUCAUCCGGCCUCAGUGUUAUAUCCAUCCAAUCUAUCCACUCAUCCCAUGUGCUUGUAAUCUGUAGUGAAUUUAGCUUUCAUUAUUGGCAAAAUUUAUAAGCUGAGAUUAGUUUAUCUUUGUAGUACAAACUAGGUGGAUACUUCUGUGGCAACAUACUAUGAACAGUCUUCUGAGAGAAUAAAACACUAAAAGUCACCCUAGCCAUUUUGGAAGACGGGAUCAAAAUUCCUUGGAAACAAUCCCAUGAAACUACUGGAACUAUAUUAUUUUUAGGUUCUAGUUUUGUAAAGACCUUUGAGCAGCGCACUGCCAAGCUCUGCAAAGCCUAUGUCCAUUUUCAAACCUGAUUCAAGCAAUAAAGGUGCAAGCCACAAAAGAAAUCUGAUGGUGCGAUGGUACCUUGGGGCUUUCAGCAGGGAGAUGAGGGAUGAAUGAAGUCCUUGCAAAAAGAAAAGUGAUCUGAAACUGAAACUUUCCUAUAACAGGAAGGCACUCUGACUUCCUUACAGUUCACAGGAUACAGGUGUUUAUCUGCUUUGCCUUCAGCCUCCUACACCCCGAGCUUUCUUUAGAACCAAAUCCAGUAAGUGUGGUCUGAGAAAUACAAACCAGUUUGGGCCUUCCAGGUCUUUUUUUGAAAUCUAAUGUAGUCAAAAUAUGAGAUAGCUACCUAGCCCCUCAGCAUUACCAAAGAUUUAGGAUGCUCUAGGCUUGCCAAGAAAUAAUCUGGAAAGUGUGCAGGGAAGGAUAUGGAUGGCAGUUUAGGAGCAUGGGGAACUCUAGCAGUGGUUUAUGGAGUAUGGAUUUGGAGGCGAUGACUAGUCAUGUUUGUUCUUUUGUGGACUCAGUCCUUAGUCUUGUU